This 524-nucleotide ribosomal RNA is filed under the name uncultured bacterium. Its description in RNAcentral is "partial 16S ribosomal RNA". It matches the Rfam family "Bacterial small subunit ribosomal RNA", at positions 28 to 523 of the family's 1533-position model. The record is from RNAcentral.
GACGGACGCUGGCGGCGUGCCUAAUACAUGCAAGUCGAGCGCAGGAAACUGACGGAACUCUUCGGAGGGAAGGCAGUGGAAUGAGCGGCGGACGGGUGAGUAACACGUAAGGAACCUGCCUCAAGGAUUGGGAUAACUCCGAGAAAUCGGAGCUAAUACCGGAUAGUUCAACGGACCGCAUGGUCCGCUGAUGAAAGGCGCUUCGGCGUCACCUUGAGAUGGCCCUGCGGUGCAUUAGCUAGUUGGUGGGGUAACGGCCCACCAAGGCGACGAUGCAUAGCCGACCUGAGAGGGUGAGCGGCCACACUGGGACUGAGACAAGGCCCAGACUCCUACGGGAGGCAGCAGUAGGGAAUCUUCCACAAUGGACGAAAGUCUGAUGGAGCAACGCCGCGUGAGUGAUGAAGGUUUUCGGAUCGUAAAACUCUGUUGUAAGGGAAGAACACGUACGAGAGGAAAUGCUCGUACCUUGACGGUACCUUACGAGAAAGCCACGGCUAACUACGUGCCAGCCGCCGCCGUAA